UUAGCGGCGGACGGGUGAGUAACACGUGGAUAACCUACCUAUAAGACUGGGAUAACUUCGGGAAACCGGAGCUAAUACCGGAUAAUAUUUUGAACCGCAUGGUUCAAAAGUGAAAGACGGUCUUGCUGUCACUUAUAGAUGGAUCCGCGCUGCAUUAGCUAGUUGGUAAGGUAACGGCUUACCAAGGCAACGAUGCAUAGCCGACCUGAGAGGGUGAUCGGCCACACUGGAACUGAGACACGGUCCAGACUCCUACGGGAGGCAGCAGUAGGGAAUCUUCCGCAAUGGGCGAAAGCCUGACGGAGCAACGCCGCGUGAGUGAUGAAGGUCUUCGGAUCGUAAAACUCUGUUAUUAGGGAAGAACAUAUGUGUAAGUAACUGUGCACAUCUUGACGGUACCUAAUCAGAAAGCCACGGCUAACUACGUGCCAGCAGCCGCGGUAAUACGUAGGUGGCAAGCGUUAUCCGGAAUUAUUGGGCGUAAAGCGCGCGUAGGCGGUUUUUUAAGUCUGAUGUGAAAGCCCACGGCUCAACCGUGGAGGGUCAUUGGAAACUGGAAAACUUGAGUGCAGAAGAGGAAAGUGGAAUUCCAUGUGUAGCGGUGAAAUGCGCAGAGAUAUGGAGGAACACCAGUGGCGAAGGCGACUUUCUGGUCUGUAACUGACGCUAAUGUGCGAAAGCGUGGGGAUCAAACAGGAUUAGAUACCCUGGUAGUCCACGCCGUAAACGAUGAGUGCUAAGUGUUAGGGGGUUUCCGCCCCUUAGUGCUGCAGCUAACGCAUUAAGCACUCCGCCUGGGGAGUACGACCGCAAGGUUGAAACUCAAAGGAAUUGACGGGGACCCGCACAAGCGGUGGAGCAUGUGGUUUAAUUCGAAGCAACGCGAAGAACCUUACCAAAUCUUGACAUCCUUUGACAACUCUAGAGAUAGAGCUUUCCCCUUCGGGGGA
Molecule: ribosomal RNA, 950 nt
Filed under: Staphylococcus aureus
Lineage: Bacteria; Bacillati; Bacillota; Bacilli; Caryophanales; Staphylococcaceae
Description: bacterial SSU rRNA
Rfam family: Bacterial small subunit ribosomal RNA
Source: RNAcentral